UGGGGAAUUUUGGACCAUGGGGGAAACCCUGAUCCAGCCAUCCCGCGUGUGCGAUGAAGGCCUUCGGGUUGUAAAGCACUUUUGGCAGGAAAGAAACGUCAUGGGUUAAUACCCCGUGAAACUGACGGUACCUGAAGAAUAAGCACCGGCUAACUACGUGCCAGCAGCCGCGGUAAUACGUAGGGUGCAAGCGUUAAUCGGAAUUACUGGGCGUAAAGCGUGCGCAGGCGGUUCGGAAAGAAAGAUGUGAAAUCCCAGAGCUCAACUUAGGAACUGCAUUUUUAACUACCGGGCUAGAGUGUGUCAGAGGGAGGUGGAAUUCCGCGUGUAGCAGUGAAAUGCGUAGAUAUGCGGAGGAACACCGAUGGCGAAGGCAGCCUCCUGGGAUAACACUGACGCUCAUGCACGAAAGCGUGGGGAGCAAACAGG
Molecule: ribosomal RNA, 429 nt
Filed under: Acidobacteriota bacterium
Lineage: Bacteria; Pseudomonadati; Acidobacteriota
Description: Acidobacteria bacterium partial 16S ribosomal RNA
Rfam family: Bacterial small subunit ribosomal RNA
Source: RNAcentral